RNAcentral lists this ribosomal RNA (454 nucleotides) under Neotrigaster rufa. RNAcentral's name for it is "partial 16S ribosomal RNA". It matches the Rfam family "Bacterial large subunit ribosomal RNA", at positions 1859 to 2597 of the family's 2925-position model. The record is from RNAcentral. Lineage: Eukaryota; Metazoa; Annelida; Clitellata; Crassiclitellata; Megascolecidae.
CUGCCCAGUGAAACAAAUUUUCAACGGCCGCGGUAUCCUAACCGUGCAAAGGUAGCAUAAUCACUUGCCUAUUAAUUGUAGGCUAGAAUGAACGGAUCAACGAAAUAAUAACUGUCUCAAUCAAUAAACUAAAAAUUAUUUUCUAUAUGAAGAAAAAUAGAUAAAUUCGAAGGACAAGAAGACCCUAUAGAGCUUAAUUUAUAUUCAAUAAAAAAAUUGAUAAAAAUUCGGUUGGGGCGACCUAGGGAAUCAAUUAUCACCCUUUAUUAAAAAGAUGUAUAUAUCUAAUAAAAGACCCUAAAAAGAUCAAUAAAUCAAGCUACCUUAGGGAUAACAGGCUAAUCCUAUUAAAGAGUUCUUAUCGACAAUAGGGGUUGGCACCUCGAUGUUGGCUUAGGAUAUCUAUACGGCGCAAAAGUUGUAUAAAGAUGGUUUGUUCAACCAAUAAUAUCCU